ACAGGACAUAGGCAGGGUUCCCCUUCUGUCUACUGCAUUGCAUAUGUUACACUUGUCACCACAUCUAUCCAAUCACAACUAAUUGAACAAAGUGUAGCACAGUAGGCCAUUCUCCACCAAUCAAAAAGCACACAGGAACCACCCCUUAGAACCACCCCUUUAGAACCACCCCUUUCGGCCUUUGACACCUACUUUGCAGGUUCCCUGGAAGCGACAAACACCAUUUCUAAACAAUCACCAUGCAAGUAAAACACAUACUAAAUAAAAAGCAGCAAAUGUACUAGAAUGGAAAAACCCUCAGAGGUACAGAGUGUGAGAUCGGCCCCGGGGUCAGAGGUACAGAGUGUGAGAUCGGCCCCGGGGUCAGAGGUACAGAGUGUGAGAUCGGCCCCGGGGUCAGAGGUACAGAGUGUGAGAUCGGCCCCGGGGUCAGAGGGCCCCAGAGGUACAGUCAGUGUGUGAGAUCGGGGGAACAGAGCUCCAGGCCAGAGUGGGGGACUGCUCUCUCCCUUCGUCACACAUUGACUUGACACAUAGACACACCGACACUUAGAAACAUGUCCAACCUAGUAAACAACAGGUGCAAAGCUUGGAGCUUGGAGCUUGGAAUGCCAUGGAGAUCAUGGAAUCAGGAGUUUCAUCAAGUAAACAAUCCCUUGGUCCCCAGGAGGCUGUACAAUAGUUAUGCACUGGACUCAAUCAUUCCUCAGGAAGCAUCACAGAUGUCUGACUCAGUGUUGAGCCCUUUGCCCUUUGAGUGGAAUAGAAACCUCAAGUGCCGACUGGCUGGCUACACUUUUUACUUUGACACUUUUUACCCUCAUCAAUCUGGUUUUACUUUCAAAUAAUACUUAAUAUUGUUUUAUGAAUUUUUCCAUUCCAUUAUUUUUAUUACUUGAUUUUACUGGUUUUUUUCUAUCUAAUGUUUUGUAAGUCGCUUUGAAAAUCUGCUAAAUAUUUAAACUAUUGUGUACACAUCAUGGACCACAGAUAGCCUUAACGAAUCAUUCUGCUGUAGGUUAGAUGUGUUUUCAGACCACAGAUAGCCUUAACGAGUCAUUCUGCUAUAGGUUAGAUGUGUUUUCAGACCACAGAUAGCCUUAACGAAUCAUUCUGCUAUAAGUUAGAUGUGUUUUCAGACCACAGAUAGCCUUAACGAGUCAUUCUACUAUAAGUUAGAUGUGUUUACAGACCAGAGGCUAACUAAGAUAGAGGAAAAUAUACAUACUGAAUCUUCUCUUCACGUCAAAGUAAAAGCAAGUUUUGCACUCACCACCUGGUUCUACUUGUCACAAGUCAAAAUAGUCACAAAGGAGGCGUGCAAGCAUGCCACUUGCAGUAUGUAGUAAAACUAGUUUUAAGCCACAAAAUCAUGCUUUACAUGCAAAUGACUACAGUGAAAUAGGAACAGAGUAACGUUGUCACAUUCUGGCUCCUUACAUUAAAGGUAACAUAUGUAAGAUCUAUUAGCAGAUAUGGAAUAUAGUAAUCACAAUUAUGCUUUUAUUAGUGUAUAAUCACCUGUAACUACGGAUAGUUUACCUACAUAACAGCAGGUCGUUUUCCAUUAUUAUUUAGCACAAGAAGAAGCAAGAGAGUGUGAAUCCUCAUUGUCAAAGAAGCGAAAAGCAUGAAGCAAAAUGAAAUAAGAACAGGUGACAGCAGAAAACAAGGGUAGACACGUGCUUGGUCUUCCCAGAUGGAAAACACUGAGGAGGGGGACACAUGUUUUCAGAGUGACAGCGAAGUUGUUUGAUAGUUUUAGCUGGAACAUGGCUAUGGGCAUAGUUACUAACACUAGUAACCUUUUUCCUGUGUAAAUGUUGAAAUCUAAUUGCUAGCAGGAUUGUAACUUCACUUUGAUGUGCCAAAACUAGAAUUUAUCUUUGGACCCAAAAGACCCAGUGACGUUACCGAGAUCAGCCCACAGCUGCUUAUUAUUGUCAAUACAAGUUCAACGUUAAACAAGAAAUCUCAUGAAUCCUGGUCAGCCUACCAUUCACUUUUCUGGGCACGCUUAUUACGUGGAUGAAGUUACUAGUUAUUUUGAAGAUGGAUAUUUUUAAAUAACAGGCAUCAUCUCUUAGUAUUCUAUAUUACCACUGUAGCAACCCACCCGAGUUCUGCAUAUAACAAACCCACACACAAAUACAGAAAAAGCCAACAAAAUGCCCUGCACUGCGGCAUGGCUGAGGUGAUGCCAGCGGGGCAUAGACACGUACAGGCCUCAUCAACAGCAGCGCUCAAGCCUGGCAUGAGCAGCAGGUCUCUCUAGGGUGCCACCUCUUUCUCUCACCUUCCUAGACCUCACUACACUACUCGUGCCAACAAACACACAGCAUUUCUUUUGGCCCCAACGCAUGGUGGCAGCGAUGACCCUACUGUCAGGAAGUCUUCUGUCUUCUCUCCGCUUCCUCUGUUCUCCUCUUCUCUCCUUACACGGGGACCCCUUACCAUCUGGAAAUCAUUUCCUACCUCUUACGACACCAGCCCACCAGUUAGCUGUUUGUUGAUCUUGACAAAGUGCCAUUUUCCAAUUAAAUAAAAAUUCCUCUGCAAGUUCAUAAUAAAUUGAUCAACCAAGAAAAAAAACACCUCAUAACAAAGGCAUUUGUAUGCCAGAGUUCUACCAAAGACUAUAUUUUUCAGAAGAUGAGGAUGGAGCAUUAGUUGAAAUUGAUUCCAUAUAUACUGUAUACUGCAGGGUUAGGCUUAAGGCUUUAGACUGUGCUCUUAUGCAAGAAAGCUCGAACUGUGAGAAGAGGAGGAGGAGAUAUGGUUGUCAGCCAGACCUUCUUUCCGACCUACGCCUUCAGUCUCCAAGGUAACAACACUGGAGUGAGGAUCAAAGAAUGCAGGGUUUUUUAUGAUGGUGAAUUUACACCCCAAUGACCUUCCUCACUGUCACAUGGCAAAGGGUCACGUCAGGUCGCGCCGGCCAACACUGGGAAACUGAUUUUUUUUCCCCAAGGGUAAAGUGACAACUCUCUUUAAUGUUCACUGCACUCUUUUCAGUGAGUGAUCUUCUUGCUCCUCCAACUACAAACACUUGCUCAUAAGCUGUGCCCAAGAAUAUCAUAAGCCAAUCAGCAAAAAUACUAGAAAGGCUUCAAGUGUGACUAUACAAGAAAAGAGCUCUUCUAAUAAAUAAAAACAAUAAAAAACAGAAUGUAGGAGAGCUUAGAAGAAUGAAAAGCUAAUGACUGCCUGCAGUGUGGGGGCGUACGUGCGCAUGUAAGAGAGACAGAGAGACAGAGAGAGAAAGAGAGAAAGAGAGAAUUAUGAUCCAGAGGAAGCCUUUACAGGAAUCUGGGUGAGUAAACACUGAACAGCUGACUCUGAGGGCCUCGGCGUUUUCUGAACUAUUAGAGGAGACAUGGAAAAUCUGCGGUGGCACUCCUGUCACUUUGUUUACUUCACUUGGGUUCACAUCAUUCCAUUGAGGAGCUACACGAGUUCAUUUUGGAAAGAAAGACCACUACAAUCUCUAUGACUAAGUCUGAAAUGCUUUGGACACUCCUUGCUCCUUCACAGUGAUAGAGCUUUGAGUCUGUAGCGCCCCAGAGCUCUCACACAAGAUUUAUGAUGUUCAUGUUAAGUGCAAUGGGACACACAUACAAAUCCGGCAAU
Long non-coding RNA from Clupea harengus (Atlantic herring), 3630 nucleotides. Lineage: Eukaryota; Metazoa; Chordata; Actinopteri; Clupeiformes; Clupeidae. The record is from Ensembl.